AUGGAGGCCAUCGAGAAGCCCCACGCUGUUUGCCUGCCGGCCCCGGCGCAGGGCCACAUAACGCCGAUGCUCAAGUUGGCCAAGAUACUCCACACCCGGGGCUUCUACGUCACCUUCGUCAACACCGAGUUCAACCACCGCCGGCUGCUCCGCUCGCGCGGACCAGCGGCGCUCAAUGGCCUCCCUGACUUCCGCUUCGCGUCGAUGCCGGACGGGCUCCCUCCAUCCGACGAGGACGCCACCCAGGAAGUCGGUGGACUGUGCUACUCCAUCAUGACCACCUUCCUGCCCCACUUCAUGGCACUUCUUGGCAAGCUCAGUGAGCCCAACUCCGGAGUGCCGCCUAUCACCUGUCUCGUCGUUGAUGGAGUCAUGUCGUUUGGCUACGAUGCGGCAAAGGAGAUCGGCGUGCCGUGCGCCGCGCUGUGGACAUCUAGCGCCUGUGGGUUCAUGGGGUACCGCCACUACCGUCAGCUCAUAGAGCGGGGUUUCGUUCCUUUCAAAGAUGAGUCACAUGUCACGGACAAGGAACACCUUGACACCGUGGUGCAGGGCGUUGCGGGCAUGUGCGACGGCAUGCGCCUGCGCGACUUCCCGAACUUCAUACGUACGACGGACCGCGAGGACGUGCUGCUGAACUUCAUCAUGUACAUGUCUGAGCGGUUAUCGCUCCCGGACGCGGUGUUGCUCAACACCUUCGAUGAGCUCGAGGGGCCGGUGCUGGACGCCAUGCGCGCCAUCCUCCCACCCGUGUACACUGUUGGCCCGCUCCACCGCUACGCUAGCCUCGUGGUACCGGCUGGCGCCUCGGUCCACGACCUCGGGUCCAACCUUUGGAGGGAGCAGGACGGCCUCCUGGAGUGGCUCGACGGACAGAGCGCCCGUUCCGUCGUGUACGUCAACUACGGCAGCAUCACCGUCAUGACGAACGCGGAGCUCCUCGAGUUCGCGUGGGGGCUUGCCAACAGCGGCUACCCGUUCAUAUGGAACAUCCGGCCAGACCUUGUGAAGGGCGACUCGGCCGUGCUACCGCCGGAAUUCCUUUCUGCCAUCAGCGGCCGCUCCAUGCUGACAACAUGGUGCUCACAGGAGAAGGUGAUUGCCCACGAGGCAGUGGGGGUUUUCUUGACGCACUCCGGGUGGAACUCGACCCUGGAGAGUAUCUGUACCGGCGUGCCAAUGUUGAGCUGGCCCUUUUUCGCAGAGCAACAAACCAACUGCCGGUACAAGUGCACCGAGUGGGGGAAUGGGAUGGAGAUCGGCGGAGAGGUGAAAAGGGCAGAGCUCGCGGCGAUGAUACAGGAGGUGAUGGAUGGGGAGAAGGGGCAGGAGAUGAGGAAGCGCGCGGCGGAGUGGAAGGAAAAGGCCGUGCGGGCGACUCUGCCUGGUGGACCCGUGGAGGUCAGUUUGGACACGGUGAUUCGCGAUGUACUUUUGGCAAGAUUAAAUAAACUCCCAGAAUGA
This 1464-nucleotide ribosomal RNA is filed under the name Triticum aestivum (bread wheat). RNAcentral's name for it is "partial small subunit ribosomal RNA". The record is from RNAcentral. Lineage: Eukaryota; Viridiplantae; Streptophyta; Magnoliopsida; Poales; Poaceae.